Molecule: small RNA, 391 nt
Filed under: uncultured Lachnoclostridium sp.
Lineage: Bacteria; Bacillati; Bacillota; Clostridia; Lachnospirales; Lachnospiraceae
Description: cspA thermoregulator
Source: RNAcentral
AUUAAGGGAGUAUUUUUUAUAAGAUUUUGAUCUCACAUAUUUUUGUAAGUCAUUAUUCCUAUGAUGGGUUACAAAAAUAUGUGAUUUUUUUGUUUUAGGAAAAUAUAAUAAUAUAAUUUAGGAGGUAUCUUUCAUGAAUAAAGGUACAGUAAAAUGGUUUAACUCACAGAAGGGCUUUGGCUUCAUCACUAACGAAGAGGACGGACAGGACAUAUUCGUUCACUUUUCCGGAAUCUCAUCCAAUGGCUUUAAGUCAUUAGAGGAUGGACAGCAGGUUACUUUUGACAUCACAAACAGCGCCAGAGGUUUACAGGCUGUCAAUGUCUGCGCUGCAUAAUCAAGCCUUGUGUUAACAAUAGUUAACCGGACCGCCUCCCUUGCGGGGCGGUCU